GAAAUGCGAUAAGUAAUGUGAAUUGCAGAAUUCAGUGAAUCAUCGAAUCUUUGAACGCACAUUGCGCCCGCCAGUAUUCUGGCGGGCAUGCCUGUCCGAGCGUCAUUUCAACCAUCAAGCCCCCGGGCUUGUGUUGGGGACCUGCGGCUGCCCGCAGGCCCUGAAAACCAGUGGCGGGCUCGCUGUCACACCGAGCGUAGUAGCAAUCACCUCGCUCAGGGCGUGCUGCGGGUUCCGGCCGUUAAAAAGCCUUUUUUACCCAAGGUUGACCUCGGAUCAGGUAGGAAGACCCGCUGAACUUAAGC
This 305-nucleotide unclassified non-coding RNA is filed under the name plant metagenome. RNAcentral describes it as "partial contains 5.8S ribosomal RNA, internal transcribed spacer 2, and large subunit ribosomal RNA". The stretch from base 1 to 105 matches the Rfam family "5.8S ribosomal RNA", at positions 50 to 154 of the family's 154-position model. The record is from RNAcentral.